UGCAAAUCAAUAUAAAUUGAUUAAAUUUAUAAUUUAUUUAUUAAUUUUUUUUAAAAAAAAUACUUUAAUUUAUAUUAAAAAUAUUUAUAUAAUUUAUUUGUUUUAGUAAUUAAAUUAAAAAAAUAAAAUUUAUAAUAGUUUAUUUGUAUUGUGAAUGAUAAUUGAAAUAUAUUGAAAAAUAUUUAUUAAAAAAGAAAAAUUUAUUUUUUGUACCUUGGGUAUCAGGGUUUAUUAAAUAAUUAAUAAAAAUUUAUUAAUCUCGAUUUUAUAAGAGUUAAUAAUUUAUGAUAGUUAAUGUAUUAUAAUUAUUUUUUAUAAAUUAUUAGAAAUGAAAUGUUAUUCGUUUAUAAAUAUAUCUAGUUUUUUUAGAAAUAAAUUUAAUUUAUUAAUUUUUAAUUUUAUUUAUUUUUUAUAUAAAUAAAUAAAUUUAUUAAUUAAAAUAUUUUAAGGGAUAAGCUUUAAAAUAAAUUUAUUAAAAAUUUAAUAAAUUUUUAUUAAAAAUAUAUGCAUAUAAUUAGCAAUUAUUAAUAAUUUUGUAAUAAAUUAUUUUAUAAAAUAUAUUUUUUAUUAAUAUUUUAAUUUUUUUUUAUAAAAAUUAUUUUUUUAAUUUUUUAUAAAAAUAAAUAAUGAUAAAAUUAGUAUAUAAAUUAUAUUAAUGUAAAAUUAUUUAUUUUUGAUAAGUUUAUAUAAAGAACUCGGCAAAUAUUUUACUCGCCUGUUUAACAAAAACAUGUCUUUUUGAGUUAUUUUUAAAGUCUAACCUGCCCAAUGAAAUAUUUUUUAAUGGCCGCAGUAUUCUGACUGUGCAAAGGUAGCAUAAUCAUUAGUCUUUUAAUUGAAGGCUUGUAUGAAUGGUUGGACGAAGUAUAAUCUGUUUCAUAUAAAUUUUUUAUAGAAUUUUAUAUUUUAGUAAAAAAGCUAAAAUUUUUUUAAAAGACGAGAAGACCCUAUAAAUCUUUAUAAUUUAAAUUAUUUUUAUUUUAUUGAAUUAUUUAUUUUUUUUAAUUUAAAUUAUUUUGUUGGGGUGAUAUUAAAAUUUAAAAAACUUUUAAUUUUUAAAUUCAUUAAUUUAUGACUUGUUGAUCCAUUAAUAAUGAUUAAAAAAAUAAGUUACUUUAGGGAUAACAGCGUAAUUUUUUUGGAGAGUUCUUAUUGAUAAAAAAGUUUGCGACCUCGAUGUUGGAUUAAGAUAAAAUUUUAGGUGUAGUAGCUUAAAUAAUAAGUCUGUUCGACUUU
This 1236-nucleotide ribosomal RNA is filed under the name Aciura afghana. Its description in RNAcentral is "partial 16S ribosomal RNA". The record is from RNAcentral. Lineage: Eukaryota; Metazoa; Arthropoda; Insecta; Diptera; Tephritidae.